UGGGGAAUAUUGCACAAUGGGCGCAAGCCUGAUGCAGCCAUGCCGCGUGUAUGAAGAAGGCCUUCGGGUUGUAAAGUACUUUCAGUCGGGAGGAAGGUGGUAAGGUUAAUAACCUUGUCGAUUGACAUUACCCGCAGAAGAAGCACCGGCUAACUCCGUGCCAGCAGCCGCGGUAAUACGGAGGGUGCAAGCGUUAAUCGGAAUUACUGGGCGUAAAGCGCACGCAGGCGGUCUGUCAAGUCGGAUGUGAAAUCCCCGGGCUCAACCUGGGAACUGCAUUCGAAACUGGCAGGCUAGAGUCUUGUAGAGGGGGGUAGAAUUCCAGGUGUAGCGGUGAAAUGCGUAGAGAUCUGGAGGAAUACCGGUGGCGAAGGCGGCCCCCUGGACAAAGACUGACGCUCAGGUGCGAAAGCGUGGGGAGCAAACAGG
RNAcentral lists this ribosomal RNA (429 nucleotides) under Chloroflexota bacterium. RNAcentral's name for it is "Chloroflexi bacterium partial 16S ribosomal RNA". It matches the Rfam family "Bacterial small subunit ribosomal RNA", at positions 355 to 776 of the family's 1533-position model. The record is from RNAcentral. Lineage: Bacteria; Bacillati; Chloroflexota.